UUUCAGAGUUAGGUCAGCUCUGCGCACAUCCUGAAGUGAAAUUAACCCAUUUUCUUCUAUCUUCACACAGUCCAAAAGAGAAAGAAAAGAUCAUCUCAAGCAGAAAUGAAAGGAUAUGGAGAUUACAUGCUCAUAUGGAAGGCCAAGGAAAGUCAAGCAGGAAAAAGCAAGAGGGUAAACACAAGACAAGGAGUCACCAAGCACUACUGUUCCACUAUCAUCACUGCAGUCUGGCUCUCUGCAGUUUUGUUUUACUGAUACAGGAAGUAAUGCCAUUUCAUGUACCCAAGAGAGACACCAAGAAAGGCUAUAAGUGCAGUCCUGCUUCUGCUCCAAUCAAACACAGCUUAUCUGUAAAUGGCAUCCCUAAGAGGAUCUUUGCUAAUGUGACUCCAACGUUACAAGAAAAAGGAUAAUGGGAUUCUGGAGCAAGCAUGCUUUCAUUUACUCUGUUGGAAGUAUGGAAUUAAGAACUGAUUUCCGUGGAUAUAUUCCUUGUUUCUCUAAAAGCACAAUCUGUCUCUAGGGUUACCUUCAGUACUGGAAGUGCAGUUCUGAUCUGCAGAUUUGUCCUGAUGAGAAGGAAAACGACAUAAAAGAAUUAGGAUGAAGAAGGCAUGCAAGAAUAAAUCUUUGCAGUAUAUAAUUUUGCA
Molecule: long non-coding RNA, 653 nt
Filed under: Coturnix japonica (Japanese quail)
Lineage: Eukaryota; Metazoa; Chordata; Aves; Galliformes; Phasianidae
Description: lncRNA (ENSCJPG00005007846.1)
Source: RNAcentral